GAUGAACGCUGGCGGCGUGCCUAAUACAUGCAAGUCGAGCGAACAGACGAGGAGCUUGCUCCUCUGACGUUAGCGGCGGACGGGUGAGUAACACGUGGAUAACCUACCAAUAAGACUGGGAUAACUUCGGGAAACCGGAGCUAAUACCGGAUAAUAUAUUGAACCGCAUGGUUCAAUAGUGAAAGACGGUUUUGCUGUCACUUAUAGAUGGAUCCGCGCCGCAUUAGCUAGUUGGUAAGGUAACGGCUUACCAAGGCAACGAUGCGUAGCCGACCUGAGAGGAUGAUCAGCCACACGGGAACUGAGACACGGCCAAGACGCAUAAGGGAGGAAGAAGUGGGGAAUCUUGGACAAGGGGAGAAAGCCGGAGGAAGCAAGACCGGGUGGGUGAAGAAGGUCUUCGGGUUUAAAAGCUCUUUUAUUGGGAAAGAAAAGAAGUAGAGUAAUAUCUGCCUGUCUUGACGGUACCUAAACAAAAAGCCACGGCUAACUUCGUG
Molecule: ribosomal RNA, 497 nt
Filed under: uncultured bacterium
Lineage: Bacteria
Description: partial 16S ribosomal RNA
Rfam family: Bacterial small subunit ribosomal RNA
Source: RNAcentral